AUUGAACGCUGGCGGCAGGCCUAACACAUGCAAGUCGAGCGGAUGAAGGGGGCUUGCUCCUGGAUUCAGCGGCGGACGGGUGAGUAAUGCCUAGGAAUCUGCCUGGUCGUGGGGGAUAACGUCCGGAAACGGGCGCUAAUACCGCAUACGUCCUGAGGGAGAAAGUGGGGGAUCUUCGGACCUCACGCUAUCAUAUGAGCCUAGGUCGGAUUAGCUAGUUGGUGGGGUAAAGGCCUACCAAGGCGUCGAUCCGUAACUGGUCUGAGAGGAUGAUCAGUCACACUGGAACUGAGACACGGUCCAGACUCCUACGGGAGGCAGCAGUGGGGAAUAUUGGACAAUGGGCGAAAGCCUGAUCCAGCCAUGCCGCGUGUGUGAAGAAGGUCUUCGGAUUGUAAAGCACUUUAAGUUGGGAGGAAGGGCAGUAAGUUAAUACCUUGCUGUUUUGACGGUACCAACAGAAUAAGCACCGGCUAACUUCGUG
This 484-nucleotide ribosomal RNA is filed under the name uncultured bacterium. RNAcentral describes it as "partial 16S ribosomal RNA". It matches the Rfam family "Bacterial small subunit ribosomal RNA", at positions 30 to 507 of the family's 1533-position model. The record is from RNAcentral.